AUGAAGACCCUCACCUAUUUCCUUGCCUUGUGUCUAGCCACCACCACCUUGCUCUUCACCGGCGGCAAAUCAUGCCCACACGAUCCGGUGCUGACCGUCGCAGCCGCAUGCCACCAGGUGAGCGGAGGGCAGCCCAUGCUGGAGCUCUGCACCAAGACGCUCCACGCCGCAGCAAAUGACAAGGCCGAUGCGGUCAGCAGUUAUGCCUAUAGAGGUGCGGCCGCGGCCGUACAAUCGUGUGUAGACACCGAGCGCGCCGGCUCGCAGUUGCUGCGGAAUCCGUCGCUCCCCAAGCAGCUGCAAGCGGCGUACAACCACUGCAUCGACAGGUACGGCGUAGCGCACAAGAAGAUCAACGCCAUAGGUCAGGCCUUGUACAGCUGCGGGUUCCCAAAAACCUUCAGGCAGGACUGCGCGGAUGCCGCCGCCGCAAUCGACGAUUGCGCUCGUAACUUGCAGGCCGCCGACCCGUCGUCGCCUUUGUACAAGCUGGCCUUGACUGGCCGGGAACUGACCGCCGUCACUUGCUCGCUGGCACUCCUCGGUGAAGCUGGGCAUUAA
Molecule: ribosomal RNA, 561 nt
Filed under: Triticum aestivum (bread wheat)
Lineage: Eukaryota; Viridiplantae; Streptophyta; Magnoliopsida; Poales; Poaceae
Description: partial small subunit ribosomal RNA
Source: RNAcentral